GACGAACGCUGGCGGCGUGCUUAACACAUGCAAGUCGAACGGGAAGGCCCUGCUUUUGUGGGGUGCUCGAGUGGCGAACGGGUGAGUAACACGUGAGUAACCUGCCCUUGACUUUGGGAUAACUUCAGGAAACUGGGGCUAAUACCGGAUAGGAGCUCCUGCUGCAUGGUGGGGGUUGGAAAGUUUCGGCGGUUGGGGAUGGACUCGCGGCUUAUCAGCUUGUUGGUGGGGUAGUGGCUUACCAAGGCUUUGACGGGUAGCCGGCCUGAGAGGGUGACCGGCCACAUUGGGACUGAGAUACGGCCCAGACUCCUACGGGAGGCAGCAGUGGGGAAUAUUGCACAAUGGGCGGAAGCCUGAUGCAGCAACGCCGCGUGCGGGAUGACGGCCUUCGGGUUGUAAACCGCUUUCGCCUGUGACGAAGCGUGAGUGACGGUAAUGGGUAAAGAAGCACCGGCUAACUACG
This 466-nucleotide ribosomal RNA is filed under the name uncultured bacterium. RNAcentral describes it as "partial 16S ribosomal RNA". It matches the Rfam family "Bacterial small subunit ribosomal RNA", at positions 28 to 505 of the family's 1533-position model. The record is from RNAcentral.